RNAcentral lists this long non-coding RNA (782 nucleotides) under Gallus gallus (chicken). Its description in RNAcentral is "long non-coding RNA NONGGAT005153". Lineage: Eukaryota; Metazoa; Chordata; Aves; Galliformes; Phasianidae. The record is from RNAcentral.
UGUUGGUAAAUGGAGGACAAGGAUCUCUUGUAAAAGUUAGAGCAUAACAGUAGGCUUGCUAAAUUGUUGUACUGGCUUUACUGGGAGGUAAACAUAUAAUAAUAGGUUCAUAAGACAAAUUAAAGCAGUUAUUAAAACAAAGAAGUGUGCACAUAGUGAUGUUUUAGCCAGGUAAUAGUGAAGUCUGCUCAGAUAUUCAGUUGCAUGUUGUUGAAGCUCAAGGGGUGUCUUGUUUUCGUGUUGUUCUAUGAAACCUCUGAAGGAAGUAUUUCUACUUUACAGGCAGAUGUCAGUGAGGAAAAACAUCCUUCAUUAACAGAUAUAGAUUUACCAAAUUGCAUGUCUGAUGCAGCUAAUGGAUUUGUCCUCUUUCUUUAUUGGGAAAUGUCUUUCAAGGAGUGGCCCUGCAGUGCCAGCUGAGCAUUUAGGAGUGCUCUGUGGAGAGCAUCACACAGGGCAUCCUGAGUGCCAACUGCAAUGGGCUGCAGAGUGAAAGAGAAGGCACAGCCUGUACCUACAGUACAGAUACCCUGAAUGUGACACCAAAGUUCACUUGGGGGAGACAGAGUUCAAAAGCUGCAGAUAACUGGAGGGAUACAGGAAGCUUUGUGUAACUGAGCAGUCAUCUGCUUUGCUGCCUGCUGAUUCUGUGAAAUACAUGAACAUCUGGAGCUGUGCACGGCAGUAGUGUGUAUAUUAAGUGACCAGAAAAUUGGACUUUUCUGCCUCCUUUUUUGUCUUCUGAAAGCAUGAGAAAAACUAGCAGUAAUAACUUGAAAGCU